RNAcentral lists this ribosomal RNA (465 nucleotides) under Vreelandella stevensii. Its description in RNAcentral is "partial 16S ribosomal RNA". It matches the Rfam family "Bacterial small subunit ribosomal RNA", at positions 338 to 795 of the family's 1533-position model. The record is from RNAcentral. Lineage: Bacteria; Pseudomonadati; Pseudomonadota; Gammaproteobacteria; Oceanospirillales; Halomonadaceae.
CCUACGGGGGGCAGCAGUGGGGAAUAUUGGACAAUUGGCGAAAGCCUGAUCCAGCCAUGCCGCGUGUGUGAAGAAGGCCUUCGGGUUGUAAAGCACUUUCAGUGGGGAAGAAAGCCUUGGGGCUAAUACCCUCGAGGAAGGACAUCACCCACAGAAGAAGCACCGGCUAACUCCGUGCCAGCAGCCGCGGUAAUACGGAGGGUGCGAGCGUUAAUCGGAAUUACUGGGCGUAAAGCGCGCGUAGGCGGUCUGAUAAGCCGGUUGUGAAAGCCCCGGGCUCAACCUGGGAACGGCAUCCGGAACUGUCAGGCUAGAGUGCAGGAGAGGAAGGUAGAAUUCCCGGUGUAGCGGUGAAAUGCGUAGAGAUCGGGAGGAAUACCAGUGGCGAAGGCGGCCUUCUGGACUGACACUGACGCUGAGGUGCGAAAGCGUGGGUAGCAAACAGGAUUAGAUACCCGUGUAGUC